GCCUGGCUGGCUCAGUCAGUAAAGCAUCUGACUCCAGGUCGGGUCAUGAUCUCACAGUUUGUGGGUUCGAGCCCCGCGUCGGGCU
RNAcentral lists this transfer RNA (85 nucleotides) under Felis catus (domestic cat). It matches the Rfam family "tRNA". Rfam says of the family: Transfer RNA (tRNA) molecules are approximately 80 nucleotides in length. Their secondary structure includes four short double-helical elements and three loops (D, anti-codon, and T loops). Further hydrogen bonds mediate the characteristic L-shaped molecular structure. tRNAs have two regions of fundamental functional importance: the anti-codon, which is responsible for specific mRNA codon recognition, and the 3' end, to which the tRNAs corresponding amino acid is attached (by aminoacyl-tRNA synthetases). tRNAs cope with the degeneracy of the genetic code in two manners: having more than one tRNA (with a specific anti-codon) for a particular amino acid; and 'wobble' base-pairing, i.e. permitting non-standard base-pairing at the 3rd anti-codon position. Lineage: Eukaryota; Metazoa; Chordata; Mammalia; Carnivora; Felidae. The record is from Rfam by way of RNAcentral.